RNAcentral lists this ribosomal RNA (491 nucleotides) under uncultured bacterium. RNAcentral describes it as "bacterial SSU rRNA". It matches the Rfam family "Bacterial small subunit ribosomal RNA", at positions 28 to 507 of the family's 1533-position model. The record is from RNAcentral.
GAUGAACGCUAGCUACAGGCUUAACACAUGCAAGUCGCGGGGCAGCAUUUCUUUAGCUUGCUAAGGAAGAUGGCGACCGGCGCACGGGUGAGUAACGCGUAUCCAACCUGCCCUUGUCCACGGGAUAACCCGGUGAAAAACCGGCCUAAUACCGUAUGAGGUCACAAGCGGACAUCCAACUGUGACGAAAGGUUUAGCGGACAAGGAUGGGGAUGCGUCCGAUUAGCUUGACGGCGGGGUAACGGCCCACCGUGGCUACGAUCGGUAGGGGUUCUGAGAGGAAGGUCCCCCACAUUGGAACUGAGACACGGUCCAAACUCCUACGGGAGGCAGCAGUGAGGAAUAUUGGUCAAUGGGCGAGAGCCUGAACCAGCCAAGUAGCGUGCAGGAUGACGGCCCUAUGGGUUGUAAACUGCUUUUGUGCGGGGAUAAAGUGUGGGACGUGUCCCAUAUUGCAGGUACCGCAUGAAUAAGGACCGGCUAAUUCCGUG